RNAcentral lists this ribosomal RNA (452 nucleotides) under uncultured bacterium. RNAcentral's name for it is "partial 16S ribosomal RNA". It matches the Rfam family "Bacterial small subunit ribosomal RNA", at positions 29 to 523 of the family's 1533-position model. The record is from RNAcentral.
AGCGAACGCUGGCGGCAGGCUUAACACAUGCAAGUCGAGCGGGCAUCCUCGUGGUGUCAGCGGCAGACGGGUGAGUAACGCGUGGGAACAUGCCCUUCGGUUCGGAAUAACUCAGGGAAACUUGAGCUAAUACCGGAUACGUGCGAGAGCAGAAAGGUUUACUGCCGAAGGAUCGGCCCGCGUCUGAUUAGCUAGUUGGUGAGGUUACGGCUCACCAAGUCGACGAUCAGUAGCUGGUCUGAGAGGAUGAUCAGCCACACUGGGACUGAGACACGGCCCAGACUCCUACGGGAGGCAGCAGUGGGGAAUAUUGGACAAUGGGGGCAACCCUGAUCCAGCCAUGCCGCGUGAGUGAUGACGGCCUUAGGGUUGUAAAGCUCUUUUCUCCGGGACGAUAAUGACGGUACCGGAGGAAUAAGCCCCGGCUAACUUCGUGCCAGCCGCCGCCGUAA